CAGGGAGACAAACAACGAUUUUGAUGUCUGAGUAAUUUAUUCUUAGGCCGAAAUCCUGUCACCUUAGGUCGAUCGGUACCUCAGCGUUGAAGCAACAGAGUUAACAGAGAUGUUGAUGCGUGUUGUGGAGAUGAUCAGUUCCUAAACUUUGUCUAGGUCACACCCCACAAGGGUUGAGUUUUCCUGGGCCAUUAGCUCAGGUGGUUAGAGCGCACCCCUGAUAAGGGUGAGGUCCCUGGUUCAAGUCCAGGAUGGCCCAUUCGGUGUUGGGGGUUUAGCUCAUUUGGUAGAGCGCCUGCUUUGCAAGCAGGAUGUCAGGAGUUCGAGUCUCCUAACCUCCACUGACCGAACUCGAUCUCCGGUUUUGCAUUGAAAGAUGGAGAGCCACUCGAUUGUGAUGUGUGAUUUAGAUGUGUCCGCUGGAUGACCCCAGCUUCCUGUCAUUCCAAAUCGAAGUAAAUUAGUUUACUCGGAAGAAUUUGGUUGAUAAGAUGCUGGGCUCGAGUUCAGUGAUCAAGAGAUUGGUCAUUGGGUUUGAAGUCUGGCAGAACCUUGACAACUGCAUAGGUAAGUCUGGAAAAACAAAGCAUCUUACAGAUGCAUUGUUUUGAAUCUGAUCUUCUAAAAGGGAGAUUGGAUCUAGAACAACUGAAAAUUCUUUUGAGCAAGAGCCGAGACUCUUGAGCGUACUUUGAUUCGUGUCGAGCGAAUCAGAGUUUGAUCUUGUUCUUAGGAAUCAGCUAAACGUUGACGACUUAAAACUUGCAGAAUCUGCUUUCAACGGCGGUAAGCGUUCAGGAGAUUAAUU
RNAcentral lists this transfer RNA (808 nucleotides) under uncultured cyanobacterium. RNAcentral describes it as "16S-23S ribosomal RNA intergenic spacer". The stretch from base 269 to 341 matches the Rfam family "tRNA". Lineage: Bacteria; Bacillati; Cyanobacteriota. The record is from RNAcentral.